Molecule: long non-coding RNA, 227 nt
Filed under: Nicotiana benthamiana
Lineage: Eukaryota; Viridiplantae; Streptophyta; Magnoliopsida; Solanales; Solanaceae
Description: long non-coding RNA (NBEN_LNC036935)
Source: RNAcentral
AUGCAUUUUCUGGGAAAUAUUAUCCUACUAUUUCAAACUGUUUAGUUUAUAUUGUCGCACUAGCUGAUUUGUUUGUUGAAUUUGGCGAGGGCGGGGAUAUUUAUGAACUUGCAAUAAAUGAAAUGAAACAAAAAAUUUAAAAAUAUUUUUUCCCUAUCCCUCGUAUUUUUGGUGUUGCUGCAAUGUUAAAUUCUACAAUGAAAUUGGGAGGUCCUCAUUUUGGUAUU